This 211-nucleotide transfer RNA is filed under the name Clarkeasia parviflora. RNAcentral's name for it is "partial tRNA-Leu". The stretch from base 1 to 158 matches the Rfam family "Group I catalytic intron", at positions 13 to 157 of the family's 253-position model. From Rfam's summary of the family: Group I catalytic introns are large self-splicing ribozymes. The record is from RNAcentral. Lineage: Eukaryota; Viridiplantae; Streptophyta; Magnoliopsida; Lamiales; Acanthaceae.
UAAUGAAUGAGCUGGUAUGGAAACCUACUAAGUGAUAACUUUCAAAUCCAGAGAAACCCCGGAAUUAAUAAUAGGGGCAACCCUGAGCCAAAUCCUGUUUUYCGRAAACCAACGGUUUCGCAAAAGAAAAAGGGAUGUGUGCAGACACACAGGGGGCCUGUUCUAACAGUGGUUACUGCAGGAAACUUUCYAUCRAACAAGUCCCUUCCCC